Molecule: ribosomal RNA, 253 nt
Filed under: uncultured bacterium
Lineage: Bacteria
Description: partial 16S ribosomal RNA
Rfam family: Bacterial small subunit ribosomal RNA
Source: RNAcentral
UACGAAGGGGGCUAGCGUUGCUCGGAAUCACUGGGCGUAAAGCGCACGUAGGCGGAUCUUUAAGUCAGGGGUGAAAUCCUGGAGCUCAACUCCAGAACUGCCUUUGAUACUGGGGAUCUCGAGUCCGGGAGAGGUGAGUGGAACUGCGAGUGUAGAGGUGAAAUUCGUAGAUAUCAGGAGGAACACCAGUGGCGAAGGCGGCUCACUGGCCCGAUACUGACGCUGAGGCACGAAAGCGUGGGGAGCAAACAGG